This 568-nucleotide ribosomal RNA is filed under the name Ogataea rishiriensis. Its description in RNAcentral is "[Candida] rishiriensis partial 26S ribosomal RNA". It matches the Rfam family "Eukaryotic large subunit ribosomal RNA", at positions 62 to 651 of the family's 3401-position model. The record is from RNAcentral. Lineage: Eukaryota; Fungi; Ascomycota; Pichiomycetes; Pichiales; Pichiaceae.
AAACCAACAGGGAUUGCCUCAGUAACGGCGAGUGAAGCGGCAAGAGCUCAAAUUUGAAAUCUAGUACCUUUGGUGCUCGAGUUGUAAUUUGAAGAAGGCUAUCUUGGAUUUGGCCUUUAUCUAUGUUCCUUGGAACAGGACGUCACAGAGGGUGAGAAUCCCGUGCGAUGAGGUGUCCAUUUCUAUGUAAGAUGCUUUCGAAGAGUCGAGUUGUUUGGGAAUGCAGCUCUAAGUGGGUGGUAAAUUCCAUCUAAAGCUAAAUAUUGGCGAGAGACCGAUAGCGAACAAGUACAGUGAUGGAAAGAUGAAAAGAACUUUGAAAAGAGAGUGAAAAAGUACGUGAAAUUGUUGAAAGGGAAGGGUAUUAGAUCAGACUUGGUAUUUAGUUAUCAUUGCUCCUUGUGGGUGGUGCUCUAGCUUUUUACUGGGCCAACAUCAGUUUUGGUGGCAAGAUAAUGACAUUUGAAUGUGGCUCCUCGGAGUGUUAUAGCUUUUGUUGAUAUUGCCUACCGGGACUGAGGUCUGCGGCUUUGCCUAGGAUGUUGGCGUAAUGAUCCAAUACCGCCCG